Molecule: ribosomal RNA, 484 nt
Filed under: uncultured bacterium
Lineage: Bacteria
Description: partial 16S ribosomal RNA
Rfam family: Bacterial small subunit ribosomal RNA
Source: RNAcentral
AUUGAACGCUGGCGGCAGGCCUAACACAUGCAAGUCGAGCGGAUGAAGGGAGCUUGCUCCUGGAUUCAGCGGCGGACGGGUGAGUAAUGCCUAGGAAUCUGCCUUGUAGUGGGGGAUAACGUCCGGAAACGGGCGCUAAUACCGCAUACGUCCUGAGGGAGAAAGUGGGGGAUCUUCGGACCUCACGCUCUCAGAUGAGCCUAGGUCGGAUUAGCGAGUUGGUGGGGUAAAGGCCUACCAAGGCGACGAUCCGUAACUGGUCUGGGAGGAUGAUCAGGCACACUGGAACUGAGACACGGUCCCGACUCCUACGGGAGGCAGCAGUGGGGAAUAUUGGACAAUGGGCGAAAGCCUGAUCCAGCCAUGCCGCGUGUGUGAAGAAGGUCUUCGGAUUGUAAAGCACUUUAAGUUGGGAGGAAGGGCAGUAAGUUAAUACCUUGCUGUUUUGACGUUACCAACAGAAUAAGCAACGGCUAACUUCGUG